UCUCUGGUAGUAUAUCGGUUAGUACACGCGCCUGUCAUUCUUUAGUGAACGCGCGAAAGCGGGGUUCGACUCCCCGCCAGAGAG
Molecule: transfer RNA, 84 nt
Rfam family: tRNA
About the family: Transfer RNA (tRNA) molecules are approximately 80 nucleotides in length. Their secondary structure includes four short double-helical elements and three loops (D, anti-codon, and T loops). Further hydrogen bonds mediate the characteristic L-shaped molecular structure. tRNAs have two regions of fundamental functional importance: the anti-codon, which is responsible for specific mRNA codon recognition, and the 3' end, to which the tRNAs corresponding amino acid is attached (by aminoacyl-tRNA synthetases). tRNAs cope with the degeneracy of the genetic code in two manners: having more than one tRNA (with a specific anti-codon) for a particular amino acid; and 'wobble' base-pairing, i.e. permitting non-standard base-pairing at the 3rd anti-codon position.